Molecule: long non-coding RNA, 4392 nt
Organism: Nicotiana attenuata
Lineage: Eukaryota; Viridiplantae; Streptophyta; Magnoliopsida; Solanales; Solanaceae
Exons: 2
Source: RefSeq, a predicted model, not a curated record
AUACUCAUAUGAAAAAACUUUUAAAAUAGUACAGGGCAUUUCAGUUCUUAUCAAAUCAUGUAAUUUCAUUCGGUAACAGUAAUCAUAUCUCAAGUAACGGUAAAAUAUAUCUAAUAACCGUGAAAAUAUUUAUAACAACUGUAGUCAUCUCAAAUAAUUAUUUCGGUAUCAUAACAUGUUCAUACUAAAAAUCAUGUGUAAAUCAUGUAAGUUAUGAAAACACAAAUUGCGGUACGGUUACUACUCGCAAUACUCGUGUCGAAAUAUCAAACUCCUAACCUCGAGCGAUCUGUACAACUUUCUUCAAUCAAUCUAUAAUCACAUCAAUAUCGAUCUCGUGUUAAUUUUCUUGUUUAGGAUAAUUCAUUGAUAAUUUAGAAUACUCAACCCUUGAGGUUUCAUUUUUGACUCUUAUAUCGCCGGAUUAUAUUUACCCAUGCGAUGAGUAAUUACUAAUCUAUCAACUUCAACCUGUUCAUAUAAUUUAUUAAUCCAAUUUCAUAAAGUUCUAUAGAUUCUUCAGAAAGAUAAUUCUCAAUUACGUGAAUGAAACAGUGAAAAUUCUAUUACUCUGUAGAAUCUUUCAAUCAUGGGAAACGAAAUUAAAAUCUAUCAGAAGAAGAAGCUCAAGUAUUACCGUAGAAUCAAUUAGUGCUUAAGAUUUCUCAACUGCAUGGACUUAUUCCUCCUUCUUUUCUCUUUUCUUUCCUUCUUUCCUUUUUUCCCUACUUCUGUUAUCGUUUUCUUUCCUUUUGAAGCUUUUGCUUCGUUCCCUUCCCCUAACCCUUUUUAAUUCAUUGGCAGAAUUGUUUUGAUGGGCUUACCUUUUCUGUUUCCAUUCUUUCUUUUUUUUUGUUUUGUUUUAUUAGUUUGUCCUUUUUUCCUUUGGACUUAAAUUAUUUUCUAAAUGUACAAUAUGUCAUCAUUUAAAAUAUUGGGGUAUGACAUAGCUACACCACAUAUGUUCAAACAUAAAGGGUUUAGCUAGAGUUGGUGGAGUUAUGCCACAACCUAAUCAUAGGACAAUGGUUGGAAUGGGUCCUAGCUAGGUGAAAAAUAGUAGUUUGGGUAUUUUUGAAUCCAAUCUUCCUUAGCGUAACAUCUAUCCAAUCUUUCAAGUAUGAGCUAGCUCUUAUUCCUAUAUCCCAUGCUAGUCCAAGUAUAUUUACUCCCUUUAAAACCUAGGUCAAUUAAUUUACGAGGAUUAGUGCACUGUCGGAAGAGGUUAGCUCUAAGGACAAAGAUGCAAUUAUCCCCUUGCUUAUCUCAAGCUUUAUGGAUUUCAUUGAAAUCCCCUCCUACUAACUAACUGACCUUGUAAUUCUUUGGGAUUAACCUAAGUUGUUCCCAUAAAAUUCCUCUAGUGGCAUAGGUGUUACUAGCAUAGAUAGCAGUAAAGACCCAAGGGUUGAAGGAAGGGGUUAUCUUGACCAUGACGUUGAUGCCCUGUGGUGUGGUGGAAACCUCAUCAAUCUUCAGGAUGUCAUGUCAUCCUUCCACAUGAUGACAAUAACCCCUGAGAGGCCCACAACAGAGUUCUAGAUUUGUCCUGAGAAACCCAACUCCUGAAUCAUGUGCUUGUGCUCAGUCAUCCUAGUCUCAAGUAAAACAAGCAUAGAUGGCUUAUGCAGCUUAACCAUCUCAGCAAAGUGUCUCCUAAAUUUCCCACUUUUAAUCCCCCGAGCAUUUCAGAUUAUAAAAUUCAUUAACAUCCUGGGUUGUGGUGGUGACUUCCUUUUCAGGCACUCGCCUUUCCCUUUUGGGGAAGGGCUCUCCAAGUUCUUCUUCAGGGGAUAGUUGUCCUACUACAGUUGUGGGGUGGGGUUCAAGUCCAUAGUCGGACUUAGCUUUGCUGCUGAGUCUUGCUCUAAGGGAAACCUUAGGCUUACCACAUACAUCACAAUAUUACCUGAAAAGUGUGCGAUAAGCAUUUCGCCCCUGGCCCUUUGAAUUAUAGCAGUUCCUCCCACCGAAGGAGUAUUGCCUUUGUUUGGAGACUCCUAGUUUUGUGAUCAAUGUUUCUAUUUCCAAUUUGGAUGCUUCUAGAUGCUCGUGAACCUUUUCCGACCUUGCCAGCGGUGUUGUCUGUGGUGCCGAUCCCACUAGCUAUGAUGGUGUCCAUGAGGUAAAUGGUGAACUAGGGAUCGACUCUCCUAGUGACACACGGGGGAAGAAGAGGAGGGUGUGACUAAUCUGGUUCAUCAACAGGAUGAGAUGUUUGCUGGCUUAGGGCUACCUGAGCUUGUAUCAGGGUUGCCAGCUAGAGCUGGUGGCCAAAGUUCAUCAUCACAUGGUUUAGAUAUGCAGUCAUUACCUUGGCCAGAUAGUGGAGAUUCUGGAUGAUUACAAUGAUGGGUAGGGCUCCGAUCGUGAAGCAACCAAGAGGUUUGGAAAUGGUCUGGGGCAGUGGUGUAGAUGUGAAAAUGAGGGGCAGUGCUUCCUCUUCUUGUGUUUGUGUAGAUGCAUGUUGUUGAGGGUGGUUGUUUGUCAUUGAUGCUGCUUGGAGUGUUUUUGGAAGAGAGUUUUCAUUAGGAUCCACAGAGUGUUCCCUUAAGCUAUCCUCUUUUUCAUUAGGUUUCCGUGCCAGAAAAUUUCCCAUCAUUUGAGGUCUGUGGGGAGGGGGGCAGCGUCAAUCUUAUCACCUGAGAGGAAAUGACGAGAGGAGAUUGUGUGGGUAGGAGUUUGAUUACACAGCUGCGCCCAGAGAGAGGGUUUAGGGUGUUCGUUCCCUUCCUUCACCGAGUUAGGGAGAUUUUGGCAUGUGUCAAUUUCAAAUGGGUCCCCAUUAUUUUGACGUUUCUUAUUAGAGUUUGGUACCAAUUUUGGUAUAUCAUCGGGUAUCUUAAAAUAAUCCGAUUUUGGUGCAGCAUUUUGUGAUUGGGAUUUUCGCUACCAAGGAUCUUGUCAAUGGGGUUAGAGCGUGUGUUAGGAAUGUGUGAAAGCAUGUGACUGGCCUGAGUAGUGAGUGUGGAUUUCCCUCGUGUGGGCCACUAUGCAUUGGGUAAGAUCAGUACUGAUCUGCUUUCCUAAUUGGGCUUUGCACGCUCUCAUUUUUGGGGCUAUUUCUACAAGGCCCCAUUUUAGUGUGCUAGCCCUGUUCAUUUGGGCAUGCCCUACGCUUACUCUCAUACCCCAGUACAAAGUGUUUCCCAAGGAGAGAGAAUUACCGGAAUUUAGGUUGUACACUUUAACCACUGUUGAGUCGUCCUUUGCUACCAAUUGCUUCUAUUUCAUUUUCGUGAUGAUUUCAUUUUUUAAUGAAAAGUGGUUAAUAGUUAUAUCCCUUAACCGUACUUGCUGCUCUGCGUUGAACUCGUUUAGUGGCUUUUGAAUGGAGUCUUCCCUAAUUACGUCAUAAAAUUCUUCCUUAGGAAGUCGAUUUAUUAGAGAAGCCAGUGGAGGCUUGAAAACAAGACAGUCCGAAAAAAGGGCUUUUGGUUCUCCAUUAUUUUUCCUAAAUGCAUGUUCAUCCUUGGGAAUUCGACUGUUUUUUAGCUUUCCUCGCCAGGUGAUUUUUGGGUACUUGUUGAGCAUUCCAGUUAUUUCGGUAUGCCGGCAACUAUUUCUAAGGUGCAUUUUUUAGAUAUGACCAUUUUGCCCACAUUUUUUGCAAAAAAUACCGUCACCCUCAUACACAAUGGGUUGUUUGUGGUCCCCUGUUAUUACCACCGAUGUUUGCAGUGGUACCUCUAUUGGCACUUAGAUGCAGAUCAGCGCGUAUCUGCCUCUUAGAGUAGUAGAGGAACGAAGUUUGGCUCCCAGUUCCGAACUGGGAGGAAGUGGCCCAUAAUGAACCAUGGCCCCCCUGCAGCGCACCGGUCAUAUUUCCUCUUUCACAAUUUUCACUAUGAAAAAGUUCCAUCCUUGGUCAAUUAGGAAAAAUAGUUCAGUUGGGUUCCAAAGUUGCUGGAGCUUGGUCCGUAGGAGGUGGUAGGGGAUUUUCCUUCAAAAUACCUUAAUAAAAAGUGAGAAUUUCCAUGGUUGGUAAAUCCUGAGCUUUUAUUCCUGAGACAAUGGGAUUGGCUCGAUACUUCCUAUGUUUGAGGCUGCUUCGAGCUCUGUUCCUGUUGGUGGUAUUGUGGACAGUAAACAUUUGACUUUGUCAAGUGGUUUUUGCUUGGAUUUUCUUGAAGGCGUUCUUGAUUGUUGUUUCCAUAUCCAUCAGUGUGUUUUUACUGUCCGGUGGAUCAUGGGUUUGCGGUAGCAAUGAGAGUAUUGGGUCCUUUGCAAUGUGGGGAUAAGACCAUGUUAGGGGAGGGAGGAGGUUUAUAUAUAAUUGUAGAAAUUGAAUAGACUUUCUCUCUCUAAUGCGUGUGAAGUACUAUUGUUCUUUUUCUUACUAUUGUUCUUAUGCUUUCUUUUUGUUAUAAAUAGAAUUUUAUUUAUGGUGAA